Carassius auratus (goldfish) is the source of this 614-nucleotide long non-coding RNA. RefSeq lists it as uncharacterized. The transcript has 3 exons. The record is from RefSeq and is a predicted model, not a curated record. Lineage: Eukaryota; Metazoa; Chordata; Actinopteri; Cypriniformes; Cyprinidae.
AGCCCUAUGGAUGCUGCUCUCUCUUUUAAUUCUGUAAUUAUUGGCUUGUAUUCUGCUCCGUUGGUAGAAUUGCCACUGUAAUGAUAUGCCACUACUUGUUUCCAGCGAGUUGUGUUUCCAGCCAACAUAAACACACAAGCAUGUGUUGCUACUCCUGUGUGACCUGGCAAAGUGACAUCACCAUAUAGUUUGCCUGUCAGCAUGUGCAGCUCAACACUUGGAGUGAUUGCCAUUUCAUCCAAGGACAGCACACACUCCCUUUCAAGGGUUCUGAUCGCUGGCAAGGGAAUCUGCAAUUCCUGUAGGGUCUUGUAACCAGUUGGACCGGAUGCAAAGCGAAUUUUUAAUGCCUUCUUAAUUGUUUCAUUGCUCCAUUUCAUACCUUUUGUGACCCAGGUAACUGGCUGAUGGCUCACUGGAAUGCUGACUGGCUGCUGACUGACUUGCUGCAUGCUGACUGGGUAGUGUCACCUGUCCCUGUCUCUCCUCUCUAGCAAUGUCCUCUAUUUCUUCACUGUCACUUUCCCUUCUCUGAGUGUCCUCAUUCUUUUUUUCCUCAACCUUUGAAACUGAUAGAGGCAGAAUACAUUGUAUUGCUAAUUUUAAAUAUUGAA